CUACAGGCUUAACACAUGCAAGUCGAGGGGCAGCAUGGUCUUAGCUUGCUAAGGCCGAUGGCGACCGGCGCACGGGUGAGUAACACGUAUCCAACCUGCCGUCUACUCUUGGACAGCCUUCUGAAAGGAAGAUUAAUACAAGAUGGCAUCAUGAGUCCGCAUGUUCACAUGAUUAAAGGUAUUCCGGUAGACGAUGGGGAUGCGUUCCAUUAGAUAGUAGGCGGGGUAACGGCCCACCUAGUCUUCGAUGGAUAGGGGUUCUGAGAGGAAGGUCCCCCACAUUGGAACUGAGACACGGUCCAAACUCCUACGGGAGGCAGCAGUGAGGAAUAUUGGUCAAUGGGCGAGAGCCUGAACCAGCCAAGUAGCGUGAAGGAUGACUGCCCUAUGGGUUGUAAACUUCUUUUAUAAAGGAAUAAAGUCGGGUAUGGAUACCCGUUUGCAUGUACUUUAUGAAUAAGGAUCGGCUAACUCCGUGCCAGCAGCCGCGGUAAUACGGAGGAUCCGAGCGUUAUCCGGAUUUAUUGGGUUUAAAGGGAGCGUAGAUGGAUGUUUAAGUCAGUUGUGAAAGUUUGCGGCUCAACCGUAAAAUUGCAGUUGAUACUGGAUAUCUUGAGUGCAGUUGAGGCAGGCGGAAUUCGUGGUGUAGCGGUGAAAUGCUUAGAUAUCACGAAGAACUCCGAUUGCGAAGGCAGCCUGCUAAGCUGCAACUGACAUUGAGGCUCGAAAGUGUGGGUAUCAAACAGGAUUAGAUACCCUGGUAGUCCACACGGUAAACGAUGAAUACUCGCUGUUUGCGAUAUACUGCAAGCGGCCAAGCGAAAGCGUUAAGUAUUCCACCUGGGGAGUACGCCGGCAACGGUGAAACUCAAAGGAAUUGACGGGGGCCCGCACAAGCGGAGGAACAUGUGGUUUAAUUCGAUGAUACGCGAGGAACCUUACCCGGGCUUAAAUUGCAGAUGAAUUACGGUGAAAGCCGUAAGCCGCAAGGCAUCUGUGAAGGUGCUGCAUGGUUGUCGUCAGCUCGUGCCGUGAGGUGUCGGCUUAAGUGCCAUAACGAGCGCAACCCUUGUUGUCAGUUACUAACAGGUUCCGCUGAGGACUCUGACAAGACUGCCAUCGUAAGAUGUGAGGAAGGUGGGGAUGACGUCAAAUCAGCACGGCCCUUACGUCCGGGGCUACACACGUGUUACAAUGGGGGGUACAGAGGGCCGCUACCACGCGAGUGGAUGCCAAUCCCCAAAACCUCUCUCAGUUCGGACCGGAGUCUGCAACCCGACUCCACGAAGCUGGAUUCGCUAGUAAUCGCGCAUCAGCCACGGCGCGGUGAAUACGUUCCCGGGCCUUGUACACACCGCCCGUCAAGCCAUGGGAGCCGGGGGUACCUGAAGUGCGUAACCGCGAGGAGCGCCCUAGGGUAAAACUGGUGACUGGGGCUAAGUAAU
RNAcentral lists this ribosomal RNA (1445 nucleotides) under uncultured organism. RNAcentral describes it as "SSU rRNA". It matches the Rfam family "Bacterial small subunit ribosomal RNA". The record is from RNAcentral.